Molecule: transfer RNA, 79 nt
Filed under: Pasteurella multocida
Lineage: Bacteria; Pseudomonadati; Pseudomonadota; Gammaproteobacteria; Pasteurellales; Pasteurellaceae
Description: tRNA-Asn
Rfam family: tRNA
About the family: Transfer RNA (tRNA) molecules are approximately 80 nucleotides in length. Their secondary structure includes four short double-helical elements and three loops (D, anti-codon, and T loops).
Source: RNAcentral
GGAGCGGUAGUUCAGCUGGUUAGAACUACCUGCCUGUUCACGCAGGGGGUCGCGGGUUCGAGUCCCGUCCGUUCCGCCA